RNAcentral lists this unclassified non-coding RNA (245 nucleotides) under uncultured fungus. Its description in RNAcentral is "sequence contains 5.8S rRNA gene". The stretch from base 1 to 53 matches the Rfam family "5.8S ribosomal RNA", at positions 102 to 154 of the family's 154-position model. Lineage: Eukaryota; Fungi. The record is from RNAcentral.
GAACGCAUAUUGCGCCCUCUGGUAUUCCGGAGGGCAUGCCUGUUCGAGCGUCAUUUCACCACUCAAGCCUCGCUUGGUAUUGGGCAACGCGGUCCGCCGCGUGCCUCAAAUCGUCCGGCUGGGUCUUCUGUCCCCUAAGCGUUGUGGAAACUAUUCGCUAAAGGGUGUUCGGGAGGCUACGCCGUAAAACAACCCCAUUUCUAAGGUUGACCUCGGAUCAGGUAGGGAUACCCGCUGAACUUAAG